RNAcentral lists this transfer RNA (67 nucleotides) under opilioacarid SJD-2001. Its description in RNAcentral is "tRNA-Asn". The record is from RNAcentral. Lineage: Eukaryota; Metazoa; Arthropoda; Arachnida; Opilioacarida; Opilioacaridae.
UUAAUAGAAGCCAAAACCCCCGGAGGCCAUUCACUGUUAAUGAAUGAACUGAGACAUUCCUAUUAAA